GCCAGGUGUGGUGGCAUGCACCUGUAGUCUCAGCUGCUUGAGAGGCUGAGGCGGGAGGAUUGCUUGAGCCCAGGAGGUUGAGACUGCAGUGAGUUUGUUUGUACCACUGCACUCUAGCCUGGGCGACAGAGCAAGACUCCGUCUCAA
This is a non-coding RNA of Pan troglodytes (chimpanzee), 147 nucleotides long. It matches the Rfam family "Metazoan signal recognition particle RNA". From Rfam's summary of the family: The signal recognition particle (SRP) is a universally conserved ribonucleoprotein. The record is from Rfam. NCBI's taxonomy places the organism in Eukaryota, Metazoa, Chordata, Mammalia, Primates, Hominidae.